GUCACCUUGGGACCUUGUUAAAAUGCGGUUUCUGUUCAGCAGGACCAGGGUAGGGCCUGAGAUGCUACAUUUCUAGCAAGCUCCCAGGUGAUGCUAC
Molecule: microRNA precursor, 97 nt
Filed under: Camelus dromedarius (Arabian camel)
Lineage: Eukaryota; Metazoa; Chordata; Mammalia; Artiodactyla; Camelidae
Also listed under: 1 other name
Description: mir-544 microRNA precursor family
Rfam family: mir-544 microRNA precursor family
Source: Rfam by way of RNAcentral